RNAcentral lists this ribosomal RNA (798 nucleotides) under uncultured Porphyromonadaceae bacterium. RNAcentral's name for it is "bacterial SSU rRNA". It matches the Rfam family "Bacterial small subunit ribosomal RNA", at positions 8 to 795 of the family's 1533-position model. Lineage: Bacteria; Pseudomonadati; Bacteroidota; Bacteroidia; Bacteroidales; Porphyromonadaceae. The record is from RNAcentral.
AGAGUUUGAUUAUGGCUCAGGAUGAACGCUAGCGAUAGGCCUAACACAUGCAAGUCGAGGGGCAGCACAUGAAGUAGCAAUACGGAUGGUGGCGACCGGCGCACGGGUGAGUAACGCGUAUGCAACCUGCCUACAACAGGGGAAUAACCCGUUGAAAGACGGACUAAUACCCCAUAACACAGGGAUCCCGCAUGGGAAUAUUUGUUAAAGAUUUAUCGGUUGUAGAUGGGCAUGCGUUCCAUUAGCUGGUUGGUGAGGUAACGGCUCACCAAGGCAACGAUGGAUAGGGGAACUGAGAGGUUUAUCCCCCACACUGGUACUGAGACACGGACCAGACUCCUACGGGAGGCAGCAGUGAGGAAUAUUGGUCAAUGGACGCAAGUCUGAACCAGCCACGUCGCGUGAAGGAAGACGGCCCUACGGGUUGUAAACUUCUUUUGUAAGGGAAUAAAGUGUAGUACGUGUACUAUUUUGCAUGUACCUUACGAAUAAGGAUCGGCUAGCUCCGUGCCAGCAGCCGCGGUAAUACGGAGGAUCCGAGCGUUAUCCGGAUUUAUUGGGUUUAAAGGGUGCGCAGGCGGGAGAUUAAGUCGGCGGUGAAAUUUUGCAGCUCAACUGUAAAAGUGCCUUCGAAACUGGUUUCCUUGAGUGUGGAUGAAGUAGGCGGAAUUUGUGGUGUAGCGGUGAAAUGCAUAGAUAUCACGAGGAACUCCGAUUGCGCAGGCAGCUUACUAAACCAUAACUGACGCUCAUGCACGAAGGCGUGGGGAUCAAACAGGAUUAGAUACCCUGGUAGUC